GAAUAUUGGACAAUGGGGGCAACCCUGAUCCAGCCAUGCCGCGUGGGUGUAGAAGGCCUUUUGGUUGUAACGCACUUUAAGCAGUGAAGAAGACUCCUAGGUUAAUCCCCAUGGACGAGGACAUUAGCUGCAGGAUACGCACCGGCUAACUCUGUGCCAGCAGCCGCGGUAAUCCAGAGGGUGCAAGCGUUAAUCGGAAUGACUGGGCGUAAAGCGGGCGUAGGUGGCUUGAUAAGUCAGAUGUGAAAUCCCCGGGCUUAACCUGGGAACUGCAUCUGAUACUGUUAGGCUAGAAUAGGUGAGAGGAAGGUAGAAUUCCAGGUGUAGCGGUGAAAUGCGUAGAGAUCUGGAGGAAUACCGAUGGCGAAGGCAGCCUUCUGGCAGCAUAUUGACACUGAGGUGCGAAAGCGUGGGUAGCAAAC
This 422-nucleotide ribosomal RNA is filed under the name uncultured bacterium. RNAcentral describes it as "partial 16S ribosomal RNA". It matches the Rfam family "Bacterial small subunit ribosomal RNA", at positions 359 to 773 of the family's 1533-position model. The record is from RNAcentral.